CAUGCAGUAGACGCAUCUUGAAAGCGCUGAUUCUUCGGAAGACGCAAUUUCGCUGGAUGAGUUGCGAACGGGUGAGUAACACGUGGGAAACCUGCCUCAAAGUGGGGGAUAACACAUCGAAAGGUGUGCUAAUACCGCAUAAUAUUUAUUUUCGCAUGGAAGUAAAUUGAAAGGAGCAAUUGCUCCACUUUGAGAUGGUCCUGCGGUGCAUUAGCUAGUUGGUGAGGUAACGGCUCACCAAGGCGACGAUGCAUAGCCGACCUGAGAGGGUGAUCGGCCACAUUGGGACUGAGACACGGCCCAAACUCCUACGGGAGGCAGCAGUAGGGAAUCUUCGGCAAUGGGGGCAACCCUGACCGAGCAACGCCGCGUGAGUGAUGAAGGUUUUCGGAUCGUAAAGCUCUGUUGAUAGAGAAGAACGUGUGUGAGAGUGGAAAGCUCAUACAAUGACGGUAUCUAUCCAGAAAGGGACGGCUAACUACGUGCCAGCAGCCGCGGUAAUACGUAGGUCCCGAGCGUUGUCCGGAUUUAUUGGGCGUAAAGCGAGCGCAGGCGGUUUCUUAAGUCUGAUGUCAAAGGCAGUGGCUCAACCAUUGUACGCAUUGGAAACUGGGGAACUUGAGUGCAGAAGAGGAGAGUGGAAUUCCAUGUGUAGCGGUGAAAUGCGUAGAUAUAUGGAGGAACACCAGUGGCGAAGGCGGCUCUCUGGUCUGUAACUGACGCUGAGGCUCGAAAGCGUGGGGAGCGAACAGGAUUAGAUACCCUGGUAGUCCACGCCGUAAACGAUGAGUGCUAAGUGUUGGGGGCUUUCCGGCCCUCAGUGCUGCAGCUAACGCAUUAAGCACUCCGCCUGGGGAGUACGACCGCAAGGUUGAAACUCAAAGGAAUUGACGGGGGCCCGCACAAGCGGUGGAGCAUGUGGUUUAAUUCGAAGCAACGCGAAGAACCUUACCAGGUCUUGACAUCCCAUUGACCGCUCUAGAGGUAGAGUUUCUCUUCGGAGCAAUGGUGACAGGUGGUGCAUGGUUGUCGUCAGCUCGUGUCGUGAGAUGUUGGGUUAAGUCCCGCAACGAGCGCAACCCUUAUGUUUAGUUGCCAUCAUUCAGUUGGGCACUCUAGACAGACUGCCGGUGACAAACCGGAGGAAGGUGGGGAUGACGUCAAAUCAUCAUGCCCCUUAUGACCUGGGCUACACACGUGCUACAAUGGGGAGUACAACGAGCAGCAAGCUAGCGAUAGCAAGCGAAUCUCUUAAAACUCCUCUCAGUUCGGAUUGUAGGCUGCAACUCGCCUACAUGAAGCCGGAAUCGCUAGUAAUCGCGGAUCAGCACGCCGCGGUGAAUACGUUCCCGGGCCUUGUACACACCGCCCGUCACACCACGAGAGUUUGUAACACCCGAAGUCGGUGAGGUAACCGUAAGGAGCCAGCCGC
Molecule: ribosomal RNA, 1432 nt
Filed under: uncultured Bacillota bacterium
Lineage: Bacteria; Bacillati; Bacillota
Description: bacterial SSU rRNA
Rfam family: Bacterial small subunit ribosomal RNA
Source: RNAcentral